CCUACGGGUGGCAGCAGUGAGGAAUAUUGGUCAAUGGACGAGAGUCUGAACCAGCCAAGUAGCGUGAAGGAUGACUGCCCUAUGGGUUGUAAACUUCUUUUAUAUGGGAAUAAAAUGUUCCACGUGUGGGGUUUUGUAUGUACCAUAUGAAUAAGGAUCGGCUAACUCCGUGCCAGCAGCCGCGGUAAUACGGAGGGUCCGAGCGUUAUCCGGAUUUAUUGGGUUUAAAGGGAGCGUAGGUGGAUUGUUAAGUCAGUUGUGAAAGUUUGCGGCUCAACCGUAACAUCGCAGUUGAAACUGGCAGUCUUGAGUACAGUAGAGGUGGGCGGAAUUCGUGGUGUAGCGGUGAAAUGCUUAGAUAUCACGAAGAACCCCGAUUGCGAAGGCAGUUUGCUGGACUGCAACUGACACUGAGGCUCGAAGGUGUGGGUAUCAAACAGGAUUAGAUACCCUGGUAGUC
This 460-nucleotide ribosomal RNA is filed under the name uncultured bacterium. RNAcentral's name for it is "partial 16S ribosomal RNA". It matches the Rfam family "Bacterial small subunit ribosomal RNA", at positions 338 to 795 of the family's 1533-position model. The record is from RNAcentral.